GACGAACGCUGGCGGCGUGCUUAACACAUGCAAGUCGAACGGAAAGGCCCAGCUUGCUGGGUGCUCGAGUGGCGAACGGGUGAGUAACACGUGAGUGAUCUGCCCCUAACUUCGGGAUAAGCUUGGGAAACUGGGUCUAAUACCGGAUAGGACAAUCGUUUAGUGUCGGUUGUGGAAAGUUUUUUCGGUUAGGGAUGAGCCCGCGGCCUAUCAGCUUGUUGGUGGGGUAAUGGCCUACCAAGGCGUCGACGGGUAGCCGGCCUGAGAGGGUGGACGGCCACAUUGGGACUGAGAUACGGCCCAGACUCCUACGGGAGGCAGCAGUGGGGAAUAUUGCACAAUGGGCGCAAGCCUGAUGCAGCGACGCCGCGUGGGGGAUGACGGCCUUCGGGUUGUAAACCUCUUUCGACAGGGACGAAGCUUUGGUGACGGUACCUGUAUAAGAAGCACCGGCUAACUACGUG
This 464-nucleotide ribosomal RNA is filed under the name uncultured bacterium. RNAcentral's name for it is "partial 16S ribosomal RNA". It matches the Rfam family "Bacterial small subunit ribosomal RNA", at positions 28 to 507 of the family's 1533-position model. The record is from RNAcentral.